This 301-nucleotide ribosomal RNA is filed under the name uncultured bacterium. Its description in RNAcentral is "partial 16S ribosomal RNA". It matches the Rfam family "Bacterial small subunit ribosomal RNA", at positions 509 to 809 of the family's 1533-position model. The record is from RNAcentral.
CAGCCGCCGCGGGAAUACGGAGGGUGCAAGCGUUAUCCGGAUUUAUUGGGUUUAAAGGGUCCGUAGGCGGACUUAUAAGUCAGUGGUGAAAGCCUGUCGCUUAACGAUAGAACUGCCAUUGAUACUGUAAGUCUUGAGUAUAUUUGAGGUAGCUGGAAUAAGUAGUGUAGCGGUGAAAUGCAUAGAUAUUACUUAGAACACCAAUUGCGAAGGCAGGUUACCAAGAUAUAACUGACGCUGAGGGACGAAAGCGUGGGUAGCGAACAGGAUUAGAUACCCGAGUAGUCCCUGUCUCUUAUAU